This 258-nucleotide ribosomal RNA is filed under the name uncultured prokaryote. Its description in RNAcentral is "partial 16S ribosomal RNA". It matches the Rfam family "Bacterial small subunit ribosomal RNA", at positions 524 to 782 of the family's 1533-position model. The record is from RNAcentral.
UACGUAGGGGCAAGCGUUAUCCGGAUUUACUGGGUGUAAAGGGAGCGCAGACGGAACUGCAAGUCUGAUGUGAAAGCCCGGGGCUCAACCGCGGGACUGCAUCGGAUACUGUAGAUCUGGAGUGCCGGAGGGGCAAGCGGAAUUCCUGGUGUAGCGGUGAAAUGCGUAGAUAUCAGGAGGAACACCAAUGGCGAAGGCAGGUCUCUGGGCAGUUACUGACACUGAGGCACGAAAGCGUGGGGAGCAAACAGGAUUAGA